AUUGUUGUUGAGCAACCGGCCACGAGAUCUCUAUCUAAUUGUUUAAUUUAGCUAUUGCUAUAAAUUAUUAGUUAUUAGUUAAUUGUAUUCUAAAAUAGUAUUGGUUCCGCCUAAAAGCCUUGAAUCGAAUUUAUAGGUUAGCAUAGAAUCAAUAACUGCUCGUUUAAUUCGUAUAUCGGAACGUUUAAUGAACAACAUAAGAUUUUGCACCACACACUACCAAAACUCGAAGUGACCCGUGUGAAUUAUAAGGAAGUUUACAAACGU
Molecule: long non-coding RNA, 267 nt
Organism: Armigeres subalbatus
Lineage: Eukaryota; Metazoa; Arthropoda; Insecta; Diptera; Culicidae
Exons: 3
Source: RefSeq, a predicted model, not a curated record